This is a long non-coding RNA of Xiphophorus hellerii (green swordtail), 116 nucleotides long. RefSeq lists it as uncharacterized. The transcript has 3 exons. NCBI's taxonomy places the organism in Eukaryota, Metazoa, Chordata, Actinopteri, Cyprinodontiformes, Poeciliidae. The record is from RefSeq and is a predicted model, not a curated record.
GUCUGCAGUGACAGGAACAGGGGGAGACCCAGAGUGAAACAGAUCAACACCUCUGUUCCCCCAGUGAAGGUGUUGAAUGGUGUGUGUGUGUGUAUGUAUUUGUGUGUGUGUGUAUG